This 87-nucleotide non-coding RNA is filed under the name Bacillus methanolicus MGA3. Lineage: Bacteria; Bacillati; Bacillota; Bacilli; Caryophanales; Bacillaceae. The record is from RNAcentral.
AGCCAGCUUGUCGAGUGAAUAAGAUGACCCGAAAUAUUCCAACCCUAUAAAAUGGUAGGCAGCUGCCCAAACGGAAGGAUCAGUCGG